AACGCGUGGGUAACCUACCCUUUACACACGGAUAACAUACCGAAAGGUAUGCUAAUACGGGAUAAUAUAUUUGAGAGGCAUCUCUUGAAUAUCAAAGGUGAGCCAGUACAGGAUGGACCCGCGUCUGCUUAGCUAGUUGGUAAGGUAACGGCUUACCAAGGCGACGAUCAGUAGCCGACCUGAGAGGGUGAUCGGGCACAUUGGAACUGAGACA
RNAcentral lists this ribosomal RNA (214 nucleotides) under Clostridioides difficile. Its description in RNAcentral is "partial 16S ribosomal RNA". It matches the Rfam family "Bacterial small subunit ribosomal RNA", at positions 112 to 326 of the family's 1533-position model. The record is from RNAcentral. Lineage: Bacteria; Bacillati; Bacillota; Clostridia; Peptostreptococcales; Peptostreptococcaceae.